Molecule: ribosomal RNA, 497 nt
Filed under: uncultured bacterium
Lineage: Bacteria
Description: partial 16S ribosomal RNA
Rfam family: Bacterial small subunit ribosomal RNA
Source: RNAcentral
GAUGAACGCUGGCGGCGUGCCUAACACAUGCAAGUCGAGCGAACGGACGAGAAGCUUGCUUCUCUGAUGUUAGCGGCGGACGGGUGAGUAACACGUGGAUAACCUACCUAUAAGACUGGGAUAACUUCGGGAAACCGGAGCUAAUACCGGAUGAUAUUUUGAACCGCAUGGUUCAAAAGUGAAAGACGGUCUUGCUGUCACUUAUAGAUGGAUCCGCGCUGCAUUAGCUAGUUGGUAAGGUAACGGCUUACCAAGGCAACGAUGCAUAGCCGACCUGAGAGGGUGAUCGGCCACACUGGAACUGAGACACGGUCCAGACUCCUACGGGAGGCAGCAGUAGGGAAUCUUCCGCAAUGGGCGAAAGCCUGACGGAGCAACGCCGCGUGAGUGAUGAAGGUCUUCGGAUCGUAAAACUCUGUUAUUAGGGAAGAACAUAUGUGUAAGUAACUGUGCACAUCUUGACGGUACCUAAUCAGAAGGCCACGGCUAACUACGUG